This 279-nucleotide unclassified non-coding RNA is filed under the name plant metagenome. RNAcentral describes it as "partial contains small subunit ribosomal RNA, internal transcribed spacer 1, and 5.8S ribosomal RNA". The record is from RNAcentral.
UCUCCGUUGGUGAACCAGCGGAGGGAUCAUUACAGAGUUCCACAACUCCCCACCCCUUCUAACCGUACCCCUGUUUGUUCUCGUUUCCUCCUGGCGGCUGGCCCCCGGCGCUACCGCCGGGGCUGCCGCCGGCGUCGGGGAUCCCCCUGAACCUUUUUGUCUCAUCGAGCCGGUCUUAACUAACCAACAAAUGAAUCAAAACUUUCAUCAACGGAUCUCUAUGUUCUGGCAUCUAUGAAGAAGGCAGCAAAUCGGAAGAACACACAACUAAGCUCCAGU